Molecule: long non-coding RNA, 1483 nt
Organism: Cyprinus carpio (common carp)
Lineage: Eukaryota; Metazoa; Chordata; Actinopteri; Cypriniformes; Cyprinidae
Source: Ensembl
AUGACAGCCGUGUGUCUGUCUGAAGGAAGUGGUGGUGUGCGCCCACAGUCUGGAGAUGAACGUGACGUCCAGCCUGGAGCUGUUUCUGAGCACAGAUCAGGUGCAGUUACUGCAGCAGCUCCUGCAGACCAACGUGAUUCUAACGAGCGCAGACGACACCGCAGCAGAUAUCAUCUGGAUGUGUGUCCAGGUGUGCAGUCAUUAGCCGCAGUUGGCCGCGGUCUCGGUUCGGUGGAGAGUUUGUGUGGCAGCAGCGCCCCCUGCGGGCAGGAGAGUGGGUUUGGCAGUGACAGCUCUCAUCUGCGGAUCGUUCUGAUCGAGGGGCAGAGUGGCACCGGCAGUCGCAGCAGCCCACCAUCACCAAGAACCUCAACUUCAUCAAAGUGUUCCUCACUGCCUGCAGCAUCUCUCUCAUGACAUACGUGACCACACCUGCCUCCAAACCCCCGCCGACGCCCCCCCGGAGGGCCAGGUGCUUCGGGCCAGGGCUCUUUCCUCACUGACGGCCGAGGAUCUGCUCAACGCAAACGCUGUGGGCGGGUCGACGGGGGUCCUGGGGGGCCGCUCGUGGUGAGACAGACGACCUCACGCUGAAGAGAGUCGCCACCAACUACAAGAGUCUGGGUGAGUGACGCUUCACACGCUGCACUACAGAUACAGCAGGGCUCAACGCUAAGGAGUUUUUCUACUGGCCCGGUUGCCCUGCCAAUACAGUGGUGACCAAAAUGAUUAAAACACUAGUAUUUUCAGCAGCUAAAAAUGGUUUUAAGUCAAUUAUUUCUUUAUUUUGCUGUAGUAUGUCAGUAGGAGGGCUCUUCGGCUCUUCUUCAUGAGUGUUUGAGUGUGUGGAUAAAAACUAGAGUGGCGCGUCAUCUGCUGUUAAAAUAUAGACUCAGAAUCUCUUCCAGAGAGAAUUCAGAAUGCAUUCAGAAGAUCUCAGAAUCAGAAUCUCAGAAUCGGUGCAGCCUCAGUGUGUGUGUGUGUGUUUUUUUCUUGAUUGGGCCUUACCCACAAUGCACUGCAGCAGAUAAUCAGAGCGUUUGUUUUAUUUAUGCCGCCCGGAAAUCCAGUUAAUCUCCCUAAGCUUUUAACAGGGCUGAGCAGAUCCACAGGAAGUGGGUUCCCAUCUGUCCCGCAGGGCAGCAGGAGACACAGAUCUGAUGUCAGGAGCCUCUCCCAUGAUGCACUGCUGUGCUUACCAGGCCCAUAUGAAGAUGAUGUUGCCGGGGGGCCUGAAGAAGACUUAAAAUUACUCAAAAUAAGGCAAAACAUGCAUUAAAAUAAGUUCAAACAGCUAAAACUCAAUGAUAUUUCUUAUUUUAAUUUACCCCCUCAACAACUGUCUGUUGUUUCAGAAGAGCCAGGAUUCUUCCAAAGCACUCAUUUUAAAAGUGAUUUCUAAGUCAUGGAAAUUCUGAAAAUGCAGUGGCCAAUUUUAGAAUUAAUCAAUAAAAUAUUAUAAAAAUCUUAAUAUUAUUAUAAA